This 109-nucleotide ribosomal RNA is filed under the name Thermomonas carbonis. Lineage: Bacteria; Pseudomonadati; Pseudomonadota; Gammaproteobacteria; Lysobacterales; Lysobacteraceae. The record is from RNAcentral.
UGGUGACAAAAGCGCUGUGGUACCACCCGAUCCCAUCCCGAACUCGGAAGUGAAACACAGCUGCGCCGAUGGUAGUGUGGCUCAAGCCAUGCAAGAGUAGGUCAUCGCC